Molecule: non-coding RNA, 72 nt
Organism: Podarcis lilfordi (Lilford's wall lizard)
Lineage: Eukaryota; Metazoa; Chordata; Lepidosauria; Squamata; Lacertidae
Source: the annotation of a GenBank genome assembly
GGAGUGCUGUAGCUCAGUGGUAGAGCAUCUCCUUUACAUGCAGAAGGUCCAAAGUUCAAUCCCCGGCAUCCA